GUGGAUCCUGUGAACUGCAGGACACAUGAACACCGACAAGUUGAACGCAUAUUGCACAUCGUACACCAGUACGAUGUACACAUUUUUGAGUGCCUAUAUUUAUCGAUUCAACUAUACGUGCGCACCCGUGCCUUAGUGAAGCGCGUAUGGGUGCGCGUCUGAUGAUGCGUAUGCGUAGUGAUGCUUUACCGUCUUGUCAUCCUCUCGCGUUGGUAAAGCAUUCAAGCUCACGAUCAGGCGUUUGCGAGCGAACCGCCUAGUCCUUACUUGCCUACGGCCGACCGGGCCCGUACAACCCCCAGCCCAGGCCCGGCGGCAGGUAGUACGAUACGGCGGCGAUAGAUACACGCUAUGCAUUGUAUGCCUCAAAUAAUGUGUGAUUACCCCCUAAAUUUAAACAUAUCGACAC
This 409-nucleotide ribosomal RNA is filed under the name Culicidae sp. JBB31-2_Wy. Its description in RNAcentral is "eukaryotic LSU rRNA". The stretch from base 1 to 95 matches the Rfam family "5.8S ribosomal RNA", at positions 58 to 154 of the family's 154-position model. The record is from RNAcentral. Lineage: Eukaryota; Metazoa; Arthropoda; Insecta; Diptera; Culicidae.